RNAcentral lists this ribosomal RNA (796 nucleotides) under uncultured bacterium. RNAcentral describes it as "bacterial SSU rRNA". It matches the Rfam family "Bacterial small subunit ribosomal RNA", at positions 603 to 1397 of the family's 1533-position model. The record is from RNAcentral.
UCUGGNUUAACUGGGGGCGUGCGGUGGGUACGGGCUGACUUGAGUGCGGUAGGGGAGACUGGAACUCCUGGUGUAGCGGUGGAAUGCGCAGAUAUCAGGAAGAACACCGGUGGCGAAGGCGGGUNUCUGGGCCGUUACUGACGCUGAGGAGCGAAAGCGUGGGGAGCGAACAGGAUUAGAUACCCUGGUAGUCCACGCUGUAAACGUUGGGCACUAGGUGUGGGGGCCACCCGUGGUUUNUGCGCCGUAGCUAACGCUUUAAGUGCCCCGCCUGGGGAGUACGGCCGCAAGGCUAAAACUCAAAGGAAUUGACGGGGGCCCGCACAAGCGGCGGAGCAUGCGGAUUAAUUCGAUGCAACGCGAAGAACCUUACCAAGGCUUGACAUGCACGGCGGCACUGCAGAGAUGUGGUGGCAUUUAGUUGGUCGUGUGCAGGUGGUGCAUGGUUGUCGUCAGCUCGUGUCGUGAGAUGUUGGGUUAAGUCCCGCAACGAGCGCAACCCUUGCCCUAUGUUGCCAGCACGUGAUGGUGGGGACUCGUGGGGGACUGCCGGGGUUAACUCGGAGGAAGGUGGGGAUGACGUCAAAUCAUCAUGCCCCUUAUGUCUUGGGCUUCACGCAUGCUACAAUGGUUGGUACAGAGGGUUGCGAUAUCGUGAGGUGGAGCGAAUCCCUUAAAGCCAGUCUCAGUUCGGAUUGGGGUCUGCAACUCGACCCCAUGGAGGUGGAGUCGCUAGUAAUCGCAGAUCAGCAACGCUGCGGUGAAUACGUUCUCGGGCCUUGUACACACCGCCCGU